CGGCCCCUUAGGUGCCACGGCGAGCGGAGAAUAGGGAGGUUUCAGGUUUAGGUUUGAGGUACUCUCUCUCUCCCCCCCUCUCUCAGCUUGCGCUCCUUAUAAAAGAGUUAGCUUAUUCAUAUAGAGCUCUUUCUUUUAUUUUUAUAGUGUGGUGAUCAUACCGCGACGACUCGGGCGCACAAGGCGCCGACGGCGAGCGGCGGGUGAGGCGGACGCGGCCGCAGCCUAGGGAGGACACGACGCCGGCCCAACGACGGAGGCGACGCGCUACGGUUCACUGCCGCAGCCCUUCGCACCGCCGCCCGAGGAGCAGCAGCAGCCUCGACCUCCGGUAGGCCACCCCGUCGCGGUUCGACGUCCCUCGAGCGCUCCUCUACCUCCUGCUCCAGCAGGAGGCGGGGCUGAGGGAGGAGGUGCCGAAGAGGAAGCGGCGGCAGGAGCUGCCGGUGCGGCCAAAAAGGUGGCAGGUCAAGGACUCCCUGCUCAACAAGUUCCUUACGCGCCGGCGCAACCUGCCCCCGCGCCACGAAUUGUGGUUCUUAGAGCUCCGGUAGUGCCUGAGCUAGUCCGCACGGAAACGGUGGUACCUGCGGUUGGAGAGGUGGACCGAAGUCGUUUACCUAUUCCUUCUGCUGAGACCACGGUGCCGGUGCCGGAACAAAGACUCCUUGCUACAGGAGCAACAGAGCGUGUAACCGCUGAGGACGAACCAGUAUAGCGCACCACCUUCUGGAGUCAGAGACUGUUUAAAAGUAGCUGGUAUGCCCUUGUUGUUUUGUAGGGAACUUCUCCAGUUCGCCUAAUCCCGUCGUCCACCUACCUAAGCACUACCUGCGCAUACACCUCUGUAAAGACAUAGAGCACGAAAACCUCUGUAUUCUAAAUUUUGUGCCUUCUUACUCUACGAUCAUUUUCCUCAAUUUCUUCCUUCUACCUGACUUUUUAAGCAAAGUGCUUAUUUUAAAUUUCCCCUAGAUUAUUAGAGAAGUGGACUGCAUAGAGACCACCUCGAACCUGGUCUACGCCUUAAACAAAACCAUCGUUGGCUACCGGAAACCCUAAUGUAAUUUUCGUGACUUCGACAUCGAAAACAGUCUCUAGUUGAUACAGUUGUACCUCUACAGGUCGCCCGGACACUCCGCGAACCCCUCUUUCGAGACCUAGCCGCCAGUGUUCUGUUAUAAUCGUAUCAGUAUCGACUGAACCCCUCCUGUUUGACCGUCCUCAACGGGCAAGGUUCCGGUUUGCACAACAACCUCGAUUCAGUUCGUCAACGCUGACAUCCCCGACAUAGUCAUCCUUAAACCUAAAGUAGCGAAGAGUGAAACGUUAUCCGGAUCAAUUCCUGACUACUUUUCUUCUUCUCUUUGAACACGAGGUCGACGAUAGACCGUCGCAUGAUGUUAUCCCUGGACACUCUGCGGGCAGAUUUGAAAGGAAAAGAGAAAGGGCAAAAUAACCCCUAUAUUUUGGAAUUUUAAA
This 1482-nucleotide ribosomal RNA is filed under the name Triticum aestivum (bread wheat). Its description in RNAcentral is "partial small subunit ribosomal RNA". Lineage: Eukaryota; Viridiplantae; Streptophyta; Magnoliopsida; Poales; Poaceae. The record is from RNAcentral.